AUACGUAGGGAGCAAGCGUUGUCCGGAUUUACUGGGUGUAAAGGGUGCGUAGGCGGCUAUGCAAGUCAGUUGUGAAAACUAUGGGCUCAACCCAUAGCCUGCAAUUGAAACUGCGUGGCUUGAGUGAAGUAGAGGUAGGUGGAAUUCCCGGUGUAGCGGUGAAAUGCGUAGAGAUCGGGAGGAACACCAGUGGCGAAGGCGACCUACUGGGCUUUAACUGACGCUGAGGCACGAAAGCAUGGGUAGCAAACAGGAUUAGAUACCCUGGUAGUCCAUGCCGUAAACGAUGAUUACUAGGUGUGGGGGGUCUGACCCCCUCCGUGCCGGAGUUAACACAAUAAGUAAUCCACCUGGGGAGUACGACCGCAAGGUUGAA
RNAcentral lists this ribosomal RNA (376 nucleotides) under uncultured bacterium. RNAcentral's name for it is "bacterial SSU rRNA". It matches the Rfam family "Bacterial small subunit ribosomal RNA", at positions 523 to 898 of the family's 1533-position model. The record is from RNAcentral.